AGCCGGGGGGGUGGACGGACCCGGGUGGCUGCCGGUCCCCACGGCCGCGCCCACGAGGUCCGCUCUGCUCCCGUGCGUGAUUCCCACCACAGGCCCCGUGAAGCUCCUCUCGCCUCGCCUAACUAGAACUGGCCUGGCAGGCGCUCCGUUUCUCGCCAUCAGGACCCCUGCCGGAGCCGGCGCCCCACUCCGGUGGCUUCUCACUGCGCGGUGUCCCGCCUGCCAGAGUUUUUGUCAGUUACGUGCGGGUGUGUGUAGAACGUAUAUAAGCACAUACAGUAAACCCUUGGGUCGCGAGGCACUUGUUCGGCACCUGUGUCCGCAAGACGAGCAGACGUUUCGAAUCGAUUUUACCUUGAUGAACGAGCGAGGUCUUGCAGUAGGAGUCCCAUGAUCGCAACUGAGCCAGUGGUGGUUCUCUCUCUCUUGCUCGCUCGCUGUGGGAUUAUGGGUGAUCAUCUCCCACGCUCAGAUGCUCGGUCUCAGGCUACAGCUUUUGGCAGAAAUCGGUGAUUUUUCGGAACGUUGGAAGGUGCCCACAACUGGCGUUAGUGUAUCUUUUUGUCACUUCAAAGCACCUCUGGACAGCCCUUUGCUUUUCCAGACAAGAGUGAGCUUAGGCACGCUUUGCUUCACUCUAGGUCAUUGGACAGGUUCCCUGUUAAAGUUGCACGAAAACAAAAAGAACCCAUUGAGCCAACAGACGCCAGUGAUUCCGUUAGAGUGAAAGUCAUCCUACACAAUAACCCUCCUCUCUCUUGUCCCUCCCACACCAGCCACGAAGGUUUUCAAAGGGAAGUGCAGGUUAAUUUACUUUUUUUUUAUAUUUUGUGUCUUCUUUAUUAUUUUGUGUUACAGUAUCGCAGUCCUUUUUACCUGAAUAUUUUUGGGUUGUGGAACGAAUCAUCCGAGUUUCCUUUAUUUCUGCUGGGGAAAUUCGCUUUGAUGUAUAAGUGCUUUGGAUUACAAGCAGGUUUCUGGAACAAACGAGGCUCGCAAAUCAAGGUUUUGCUGCGUGUAACUGUGACACGUCAAUCACGUGUCCAUUUACACGUGUCCCUCAUAUUUAUCAAAAUAGUUCACGUGUCCAUAUAUGGUGGACGGUGAACACACAUCUGAAUAAAUGGCUACACAGUGUUGCCCGUGUGGCCAAAACCAAGUGUAAGGGCACUGUUCACCUUCCCACGUGAUUGGGGUUCUUUUCUGUUUUGUUUUGUUUUGUUUUUAAAUUGAAAUCUCAAAUUGUGUUUUCAUUAGAAGAUAAAUCCUAAAUGUUUUCUCUUGGGGAAACAAAAACCUGCAAAGGCACAAGAUUUAGAGCAAAAUGUUUCUAAAUAUUACGCAUUUCCCGGGAGGCUGACAUUCUGAACAUGGAACAGAAUGGAGAACUCUGUGGAUGAGUGAGUGCGGGUGUCCCGAGAGCUGAUGUCACACAGCCUGGGUUCUGCGGGGUCAGAGAGACCCGUCGGUGACUGUUCACCCAGCAAGCUGCGGCCGGAGACGGGGCAUCGGAAUGUCAGGUCUUAAAACGUGCACGACAGCUGUCCGUGAAGAUGACUGUGGGAUCGUUAGGGCUUUCUGACGCAAGGGUCUUGUUCCGGAACAUUGUUCUUUUCUGCUGUGGUGUGCGGUUGGCCUCAUGCAUCUCAGGGCCUCGGGACUCAGGGAUUGUUGCUUUUUCUCUGGGAGUGUUGGUCUCUCUGAUCUUCAAAGCCUUUGAGUAGACUGACUGGCUUCGCGAGGCUCCCAGUAUUUGAUGAGCUAAAUCGCUUACUCCGGGUAAAGUGGAUUUUGAGGAAAUCAGUUAGCUUUAGCAGGGAAAAUGGCAGAGAAGAGCGUGCGAUCUACGGUACAGACAGGGGCGGCGGGCUCCCGGUCGGUGCAGGGCACUCCUUGUCUCUGAGCUGGGGGAAGGGUUUGGCUGGAGGCUUCCAGAAUCUUCUGAAAUGUUGAGAUGUCGUGAUCCGGUUGUCAGUGGGAGGACCAGAAACAUUUUUCCCCCUCAAGUAUAUGUCAUUUACGAAAUGGGUUUGCAUAUUCUCAGCACCUCACCGCGUGGCCUUUUGCAAAAGACCUUCCCUUCAUUAUUCCCAUGGGAGAUUAAAAAAAAAUUUUUUUUUCAAUGUUUAUUUUUGAGAAAGACAGUGCAAGUGGGGGAGGAGCAGAGAGAGAGAGGGAGACACAGAAUCGGAAGCAGGCGCCGGCUCUGAGAGCACAGAGCCUGCCGCGGGGCUCGAACUCAUGAACCGGGGAGAUCACGACCUGAGCUGAGGUCGGACACUUAACUGGCUGAGCCGCCCAGGCGCUCCCUGGGAGAUUUUUAAGCCUGAUGUACGGUGAGGGGUCAGUUCUGGCUCUGAAAGUGCAUACACCUGUCAUGGGCCCGAGUGUUUGGGAAACCAGUUAUGAGGUUGGGCCUCUUGUGACUUAGCAGCCUGGGAAAAGGAAAGGUUCUUCCUGCUCCCUGACCUUCUGCCUUCCUGCUCUCUGCACUGGGCAUUUCAGUCCAUUUCCAUCACGAAUAAACAUUCUAUCCCCAUGGCUGCCCCCGCCCCCCCCCCCCCCCCGCCAAGUUCACGCACGUUUUAAACGCAUGGAGGGCUCUGUGGCUUGGGGCUCGUGGUUCCCCGGCCGAAGGGGGCGUGCUGAGGUGGCCGCGUGGGAGGGAAGCCACGUUCACUGCUUGCCUGCGCUUCUCUGCCCUGGUGGGUGUGAGAUGCUCCGAGAUCAUGAUGGCUAUUGAUUUGGAGAUGAUGAUCGCCAUCGGCGUCUGCUUACUGAUGGCCGCCUGGGUGCUGAUGUGCUGUUUCCUCUGUCUUUGCUGCAAAGUGUCCAGAUCGCUGGAGUGAGUGGGAGAGGCGGAAGGGCAGAGAGGGAAACAGGACAGUGGCAUCGGCACAAAAGGCAGGUGACUUGGAGAAGGCCAUCCGGGGACUCGGCUGUCACCUGGCUCCCUACUCUCCGGCACUCAGCGACAGAGCCUCAGAGAGGGGUCCUAUGGCAGGGGUCCGGAGAGGUGGCCUGGCCCGCGUCUCCCGGCCCCAGCCCCGUUGCGUGAAAUACAGGCUGUCUGUGUUGA
Felis catus (domestic cat) is the source of this 3079-nucleotide long non-coding RNA. RefSeq lists it as uncharacterized. The record is from RefSeq and is a predicted model, not a curated record. The transcript has 2 exons. NCBI's taxonomy places the organism in Eukaryota, Metazoa, Chordata, Mammalia, Carnivora, Felidae.